RNAcentral lists this ribosomal RNA (109 nucleotides) under Amphiprion percula (orange clownfish). The record is from RNAcentral. Lineage: Eukaryota; Metazoa; Chordata; Actinopteri; Pomacentridae.
GCUUACGGCCACACUUGCCUGAAUACGCCUGAUUUCGGAAGCUAAGCAGGGUCGGGCCUGGUUAGUACUUGGAUGGGAGACCGCCUGGGAAUACCAGGUGCUGUAAGCU